This 299-nucleotide ribosomal RNA is filed under the name uncultured bacterium. Its description in RNAcentral is "partial 16S ribosomal RNA". It matches the Rfam family "Bacterial small subunit ribosomal RNA", at positions 794 to 1089 of the family's 1533-position model. The record is from RNAcentral.
UCCACGCCCUAAACGAUGAACACUAGUCGUCGGGAUGCUAGUCAUCUCGGUGAUGCACUUAACAGAUUAAGUGUUCCGCCUGGGGAGUACGGUCGCAAGAUUAAAACUCAAAGGAAUAGACGGGGACCCGCACAAGUGGUGGAGCAUGUGGUUUAAUUCGAAAAUACGCGAAGAACCUUACCUGGACUUGACAUCCUAUAAAUGAUUUAGAGAUAGAUUAGUGCUAGUUUACUAGAAUAUAGUGACAGGUGCUGCACGGCUGUCGUCAGCUCGUGUCGUGAGAUGUUGGGUUAAUCCCG